Long non-coding RNA from Brassica rapa (field mustard), 3984 nucleotides. RefSeq lists it as uncharacterized. Lineage: Eukaryota; Viridiplantae; Streptophyta; Magnoliopsida; Brassicales; Brassicaceae. The record is from RefSeq and is a predicted model, not a curated record.
GUUUUCAGUUUUAUAUGAUUCUCUAUAAGAUUGUUUUAGCAACAACUGUCUUAAAAGUUAGAAAUUUAUGUCUUUAUAACUAUGAACAAUGAGCAGUUGAAUUCUAAUAUAAAAAUUUGUGAAUGUACAGUACAACUAAAAAUCAGGAUAACGAGAGCAGUCUGAAACCAGGCCAAGUGUGGAACUUUUUAAAAAUAUUACAGGUAUCGUAUCAUUAUUGUCCACCGGUAUCAACUAAUAGUAAUACCAAAGCCGCAACUAAAAAAAAUUAGCUUCAGUCGUAAAUUCGUAGAGUAGAUUACGGAUUACUUGUAUCAAAAUUAAAUACCUUUUCAAAAAAUAUUAAAAUUAAAUACGUACGUACAUGACCAAAACUGUAUUAAAAUUAAAUACGUACGUACAUGACCAACAAAACAAAAAACAGAAGUCAAAAGGGUUCAGCAAUGUUCAAGCCGUCCAUUGGAUUUGGUAGCGUGUGAACAAUUAAAAAAUGUAGCUCAACCACCUCGUCAGGCAAAAGAAUUAAGCCAAAACAAUUAUGUGCGUCGACGUUAAACUUUCUUGAUAAAACAUUUUAGACAUGUUUCACGUGAAGCCGUAGAGAUGAUUUUAAGUUGUAGUGCGCUACUGUGUGGAUUUUGGAACACACUUGUAGUGCGUAAAUUGCUUUUCAUUUGCCCGAGUAGAUUGUAUUGCGUACUUUUGAAUAAAUUUAAAAAAAAUGAAAAGCUAGGCUUUUAGCAAAAAUGUUGAUUAUAAAAAUCGACGAUUUAUAAAAAGAAAAUCAUCGACGAAGUCACGAAGUACAUACUAAAAAGAAAACGUGAUUCUCUGUUUGCACGGUUAAACCGGUUGAAAUAUUUUGUCACUAUUUCUUUCGUUAAACAGAACGAGACAAAUAAUCAUUUUAAAACACAGUAUCCUUGAAAAAUGAUUUUGAAAACAUUCAUCAACAUGGAAAUGAAGAAGCGGCGUAUCUCAUGUGGCACUAUCAAACUAUAAAACCCAAUAGUUAUUUAAAAUUUAUUCUUUAUUGAUGACAUAAACCAGUAAACUAUAGAUGUCAAAAAAAAACCCAAUAAACUAUAUGAGUGGGAAAUAGUGAAAGAUGAAAUCAUCGAAAAAGAGAAGAGUCGAUGGAAAAUAACCGUAAGAGAAGUUCAAAAAAAAAAUAACCGUAAGAGAUAGCAAUACAAUAACAAAGUUUCUUUUUCAAACCACUGUACGUUUAAAAUAUGUUUUCUUUUUUUGGUAAAAUCGUUUUAAAUAUGUUUUUUUAAAGGACUAAAACCCAAUAGUUAUUUGAAAUUUAUUCUUUAUUGAUGACAUAAAGCAGUAAACUAUAUGUGUGGGAAUGAGAAUAGUGAAAGAUGAAAUCAUCUUUCAGGUUUGUUACGGGAGUGGGCAGUGUUUAAUAUUAAAAACUAUAAGCAAACAAUUUGGUGGGUCGAACUCUGGUUGGAUUGACGAAUAUGCAAGUGCGUAACCAAGUGGUCUUAGUCUAAAGGUAAAGUGGUUCCAGCUGAAAUUUUUGCUUUGGGUUCGAUUCUCCUUAGCCAUCCAUAAACGCUUUAAGUAACCCGAAUUUUUAUGGGUUUCUUGGUGAUUAGUCUUUGGGUUUAGAAAGUUUUCGGGAUCAUACCAAAAUUAUCAAAAAAAAAAAAAAAAAACUAUAGGCCAACAUGAAUAUCGGAAUCCUUUUCAUUUGUAAUGUAUCAUGAUAUACAUUGAAUCUUAUAUUUUAAAGAACUUCUAAAUCAUAUACGACAUUAACAAUUAAGUUCUGCACUUUUUCUCCUCCACUGCCUCGUAGGGUAGGUUUCGAUAUUAUAAAUACAUAUAUAUGUCAUACUAACACGCAUACAUACAUACCAAAACCGUAACGAAAUUGAAUGGCUCUAAAUGUGAACUUAUCUAGUGUAUGCACAUAUUUUAAUGAACAAUUAAGUUCUGCACUUUUUCUCCUCCACUGCCUCGUAGGGUAGGUUUCUAUUGUUUUUAAGCAAUAGUCCAAGCGUCGGACCAAAUGACGUGUCGUAGUCCAACUAAUUAAAAGAACACGUGACAAGUAAUUUGAAUCAAGAGAUUAGAUACUAAUCGUCGUCAAAAAGUGUUCAAAAAGAUUAUACACGAAACAUACAGUUCCAUUCCAUUGAGAUUUUCUUUAUUAAGAAUUGAAUCCACGUUUAUAUAUUUAUUUGAGCGAUUUGCAUAGAAAUUAAAGAAAGAUGAAGUAAUUUGCGGAUAGGAAAAAAGGUGGUGGAGCCCAACACCAGUAAAUUUUAAACGACACCGUGAACCUGCUUCGUCUUCCUUGUUCAUCUCUGCCACCGCACAAACGUCUCUGCCACAAGCUUCCUCUUCUCCGCCGCAAAUCAUCGCAUCUGUCUCGGGUCACCGGAACAUCUCCGUCGUCUUUCUCUGCCGACGUCGUCAUGCUCGAAUUCAAGCAUCGCCGUUGUGCUCAUCAUCGCGGCCUCUGUCUCAUUACAAGAUGUCAGAGUAACAAUGGUGAUUUCUUGUAUUUUGCAACACAAGCCCCAAAUCUUUGGAUAUUCUCGAAUUGACCCCAAUAUUUCCAUGUGUACAAAUAGCUUCACAAAUCGGCCCCAGACUUUCAGAUUCUACAUUUCAGCCCUUUAAGAAUUCUUUGAAUGGACCUCAGAGUCUCAGAUGUUUUCAAUGUUACAAUUCAAGUUACAAUAUUAAGAUAACUAGUGUAUAUUACCGGCUAAAUAUAACCAAAAAGUCAAGUAAAAUCUUAACCGGCUAUUUGAUAAAUUACAUAAUUAAUUAGUAUAUAUUACCGGCUAACUAUAACAAUGUCGAGAUAAGUAGUAUAUUUUACCGGCUAACUAUAAUAAAAAGUCAAAUACAAUCUUAACCGGCUAAACAUUCAAACUUUUAAUCAUUUAUAUUGUGAUUUGUUAAUGAGUUAAUUUUAUGUUUAGCCGAACAUGUAAAUCUAAUCAUAUGUUUUGUGAUUUAUUAGAAUUAAUUUUUCGUUUAUCCGAAUUGAUACAAAAAUAACUACCAUCAACUGAUCAAAAUAGCCGGUUAAUAUAAAUUAAUUAUCAGCUAAACUUUAAAGUAUCCAACUAAAUCAGAAUAUAACCGUGCUAAUUUGUAAAACAUUCUAAAAAGUCACAUUAUAACCAGCUUACAUAUCAACAAUAUAAGUUAAGCUUACAUUGUUGGAAAACUCUAGAUUGUUUCAAAAAAUAAAAAGGGUUAAGCUAAAAUUAUCCAAAAUUAAAAGAAGGAAAAUAAAUACAAAAAUAUGUAUCUUGUUUAACCGGCUAACCAUAGAUAUAUCUCUAUUUCUUUCUAGGCGAGAAUCAUCAGAUGUAAUCUACUAAACUAUAAAACACAGCUUCUGUGAGCUUGAAUCGAUCAAACUGAGAAGACCCAACCACUUGAUUCAUCAUGCUCGAGCUGCAGCACUCGAUCCAGCCCAAGAUGGACGAAUUGAUUACUUACUGAAGACCGUUCUACACGAUUCAGUCCUCUCAGCCAAAACCUCACCCCGUGCGCCCACAAUCGAACGAUGGAGAUGUGACGGCGGCGAGAAGAGAAGAUGUCACGGAAGCGAGAAGGAAGACGCGGACACGGCAGCGCUCUGGUGCGGUGGAGAUGUGGUCACAACGGUGGGACGGAGACAUGCGAGAAGACAGACUGGUUAGGAGAGCACAUGUGAGAUUAAGAGAGAUGAGUAUAGUUACGAUGGAUAAACCAUAUAGAUUAAGAGAUAUUGGAGAUGGUUGCAACGGAGAAAACAAAGAGAAUGAGAGAGAUAAAAUGGUUAGUUUCAAAAAGAAAAAUAUAGCCGACAGGAUUGUAGAGGUUUUGAAUAGUGUAGUGUAGGUUGUGUUAUAGGAAUUAUAGGGGUAAGAUGGCCAUUAAAAAAGAACACAUCAGCAAUAAAGGCAGUUUUCCAUCCGUGCAAAAUAAGCAGUUAUGCUUGUAUAUGCACCGCAAUUUCUC